RNAcentral lists this ribosomal RNA (274 nucleotides) under uncultured bacterium. Its description in RNAcentral is "partial 16S ribosomal RNA". It matches the Rfam family "Bacterial small subunit ribosomal RNA", at positions 523 to 796 of the family's 1533-position model. The record is from RNAcentral.
AUACAGAGGGUGCGAGCGUUAAUCGGAAUUACUGGGCGUAAAGCGCGCGUAGGCGGCUUGGUCAGUCGGAUGUGAAAGCCCCGGGCUCAACCUGGGAAUGGCAUUCGAUACUGUCAGGCUAGAGUAUGGGAGAGGGAAGUGGAAUUUCCGGUGUAGCGGUGAAAUGCGUAGAUAUCGGAAAGAACACCAGUGGCGAAGGCGACUUCCUGGCCCAAUACUGACGCUGAGGUGCGAAAGCGUGGGGAGCGAACAGGAUUAGAAACCCUAGUAGUCC